This 254-nucleotide ribosomal RNA is filed under the name uncultured bacterium. RNAcentral describes it as "partial 16S ribosomal RNA". It matches the Rfam family "Bacterial small subunit ribosomal RNA", at positions 524 to 776 of the family's 1533-position model. The record is from RNAcentral.
UACAGAGGGUGCGAGCGUUGUUCGGAAUUACUGGGCGUAAAGCGCGCGCAGGCGGAUGAUGCAAGCCUGGAGUGAAAUCUCGCCGCUCAACGGCGAGGCUGCUUUGGAUACUGUACGUCUGGGGACUGGUAGAGGCUGGUAGAAUUCCCGGUGUAGCGGUGGAAUGCGUAGAUAUCGGAAAGAAUACCCGUGGCGAAGGCGGCCAGCUGGGCCAGAUCCGACGCUGAGGAGCGAAAGCGUGGGGAGCGAACAGG